UAUGACUAAUGCUUUUCUAUAUGCAGUACAAAUCAAGUCAUUCAAUGUCAUGUAAAUCCAUCCCUUUCCAUAGUGCAGGUUAGGAUUUUGGAAGGGAUGAUAGGAAAUAUGCAAGCCGAAUCAACAAUAGUGUUCUUUUUCUAAUUAUAACCAUAAUUUGAGAAGUAUAGAUUGGUAAAGUAGCAGAGAAUCACAUGCCAGGAAUAGUAACAAAAGAUAUUGUAUUCUUGUAUUUUCCUUGACAGCAAGGACAGUUGCCACAUAAACAAAUUAAAGUUCAUCAAUCUGAAUGCAGAAAUGGUUUCCACUACUCAAAACCAGCUAACCAACAUGCUGCAUCAAUACUGUUUGUGCUACUGUGGGCCUGUGGCAGAUGGCAUUUGCUAAUCAAGGGCAUUUUGAGGCUUUAGAACUUUUUAUCUAUAGUCUUCAGUUUUGUUCGGUAUUAGCUUUAUCUGAUGACUAGUAAUUAUUAUAACAAGGAUUUUGAGCCCAUAAUUAGAGUCUUUUCCUAUGGCAUGUUCCAGCAAGGGUACCGCUUUGACACAGAAUAGUACACGCCCAGGGCGUGUACCAGAUCCCUUUCACAUGCACAGAGGGUGUGGCCUUCUGUCCAGCAGUGAAAGAUUUUU
Molecule: unclassified non-coding RNA, 632 nt
Filed under: Hevea brasiliensis (rubber tree)
Lineage: Eukaryota; Viridiplantae; Streptophyta; Magnoliopsida; Malpighiales; Euphorbiaceae
Source: RNAcentral